This is a long non-coding RNA of Dicentrarchus labrax (European seabass), 274 nucleotides long. RefSeq lists it as uncharacterized. Lineage: Eukaryota; Metazoa; Chordata; Actinopteri; Moronidae. The record is from RefSeq and is a predicted model, not a curated record. The transcript is spliced from 4 exons.
CCCACACCUACUAUCUCCCUGAGCAGUGCAACAGGUGAAGGGAAGAAAAAGAGGAAGAGAGGCUGCUGAAAAUGUUUGAAGCAAAAAAUAUUUCACUACAAUGAAAUAAAAGAAACAACUAAAGGAGGGAAGAGAAGAGGUAAAAGUGAGCUGGCUGCCUUGUUCCUCAUGUGGCAAAACUUGGGAAGACACCUGGGAGCCUGCCAGCAACUUUAUAGGCUCCAUUUAAUGUUUUUGUUUGUGUGUCUUUAAGACACCUGUAUGUUGAAUGUUG